Molecule: long non-coding RNA, 1206 nt
Organism: Alligator mississippiensis (American alligator)
Lineage: Eukaryota; Metazoa; Chordata; Crocodylia; Alligatoridae
Exons: 3
Source: RefSeq, a predicted model, not a curated record
GGCAGGAGGCCAGGUGGUAGUUCCCUACCAGUAGCCAAGGAGGGAAGUGCUCAGCUAUUUUACAAAGGAGAGGCCUGAUGAAGGAGCUGCAUCUGAUACUGUGGAGAGAGAAAGGAUCCCUGGAAUUGGAUGAGACUGCACUCCAGAGAUGUCAUAAAUUGACUGAGGUGCCAGACAGCUGAAGAGUCAGCCUGUGCUGAUAAAAUCAUACCUAAGCAUCACUAUUUCUAUGAUUAGGGAAAAAGAAGCUCACACCAGGGUAAUCAAAAAUGGACCUUAAAAGAAGCUGGUUUCACAAUCGGGUGAGGGAGCCCUUUUCUACAGACUGGCUGCUUCAGAUAUAAAGCAAGAAGCUCUACCUUGCCUGAAGAAUCAAGGGUUAACUGUACAGCAAUUACAUCUGUUUGACGUUUCUAACUGGCUACUAUAAUAGUGUGGGGCUAGGUUACCCCAAGGUCACCAUUAUGAAAGCUCCCAUGUACCCCAGUUUGAGCUGCUGCUUACAGGGCAUAGUGAUAUAGUUAAAUCCCUGAAACUGGACAUUGUGGCAUUUUGGCUGAGGGGAGGAAAACAAGGCUGGGAUUCACAGCUUUCACCAGGUUAUGGACACUUUCUGAGAGGGCUUGUCAUUUGCCCCACUGCCUGCCCCGAGGUGCCCGUGCAGCUGCCGCCAGCAUACAGCUGAUGCUGGAGCUGUGCAACCUGGUGGAGCUGUUUGCACUCUUCCCACUGCUUGGUGCAGCUGCCCAGAGUGCGGGCUGGCUACAAACAGCUGCGCUGGGCUCGUCACCUCCGUGCCGGGAGCCGGGGAGAAACCGGGACUGCACUGCCUCAGGCCCCACACUGCCUGCUCUGAGGCGCAUCUGCACUUGCCGGUGCAGAGCUGGUGCCAGAGCCCGGCACAGCUGUUUGGAACCUCCAAGCUGCAGCUGACCCUGGCUCUGGGGAGUUGCUUGCCAGCUGGGAUCCCAGGCUGCUCCCAGCAGGCAGCUGGGACGCUGCAAGCCCUGCUGGGAGCAUUCCAGGCUCUGUUGCUGGCAGCAGCUACACGGAGCUGGCGCUGGCUUUGCUUGCCAAGCAAAAUGGCCUUGCAUGUCACACUUGGCACACGUGCCAGGGUUUGCCAACCCCUGCAGUACACAAACAAUUAAGAGGGGAGGGAACAACAUCCCUUCCCCCACAUGGUAUCUCAUGGGAACUUACCUG